GAGGUUGCCCGAGACCAUUGGGAGCUUAUCCCAGCUUAAUAUUUUUGACAUUUCCGACUGCCUGAGCAUCAUCAACAUGCCGGUCCAGAUUGGGGAACUGCACAAUCUAAGGAAGCUCUAUAUGAGAGGGUGCUCUAGUUGUAACCUACCUCCAACAAUCACAAAGCUUCAACGUUUGAAGGAUGUCAUAUGCGAUGAGGAGACUGCCUAUCAAUGGGAUUGUUUCAAAUCCUAUCUCAGCAAUCUAAGGGUAACAGUUCAUGAAGAAGACAUCAACUUGAACUGGCUCCGGACUUGUUUUUAAGAUUCCUCUCUUCUCAUGUGGUGCUGGAGCCUCCUUUCUUUUCAUAUACGUUAGUCUCCUUUACGUAUUUAUCACCACUCAUUGAAAUUUAGUGGUUAGGUUGGAAGACACUCCAACCAAACAAAUUUAUUUUUAUUAUUAAAAAAAAAUUGAUUGUAGAACAUAAUUAAAAAGAAAACCCCUUUCGACAACUUAGCCAGAAAAUGAACAAUAAUUUGGAAUACUAAAUGAGUUUCAAUAUGGACAAUUAAUUUUUUUUCUUACUCUAAACCUGUGGUAGUUACAUAAUACUACCAAGAAACCAACUCUACAUAAAAACUUGAAAGGUACGUGUUACACAAAGUAAAACACUCCAUAGCAGCAGAAGCAGCUAUCGCGCUAGACACAGUAAAUUUAUUCAACUUAGAAACCAUGCUCAUUUCCUUCAUUCUGUACAGCUCCAAAGCUUCUUUAGGCCUAUCGAAACGAACAUAACCCGAAAUCAUCGCGGUCCACGAGAAAUUAUCUCUUUCAGGCAUUUCAUCAAACAACUUAUUUGCUUCUUUAAGCAUUCCCAUUUUAGCAUACCCAGACAUCAAAGUGUUCCAAGAACACAAAUCCCUGUCACUCAUUUCAUCGAAAACAUUCUGGGCAUCUGCCAAACUCCCGCACUCGGCGUACAUAUAAAAGGCGGUUAUAAAUAACUACGCCGGCUGAAAACCCAGAAAUUUUUUUAUGUUGGUGAACUGAUUUGCCCUCGUUAAGAGCUCUGUUUUGGCAGCAAAGCUGGAUAAGAGCGGAGUAGAGAGAAGCUGGGGGUUUCUCGAUUUGAUUGAGGAUUUGAAUAGCUUCUUUUAAGAGUUUCUGGUUCCAUAAAUUAUGUAAUUGGUUUAUUAGAUUGUCUUUGGUGUUUGGUUUGAAAAAUGUUUUCUGAGGGAAAUGUUUAUGAAUUUAGGUUUGGGAAGAAAACCAAGAAGAGAAUAUUGCUCUGUUUUUGUGAAACAAAGAUAAAGAAUUGGAAAUUCUGGAAUUUAUUGAUUUCAUUGUUUUAAGAAAUUUUCGUGUAAAAUGUGGUUUCCGCUAUGGUGAUGAUUUUCUACUUUUAGUGUGAAAUUUGAAAUCAAGACUUUUAUAGAGAGAUGGAAGCCUGAUUCAAGGUGAAUUUGGGCCAAAACACGAGCAACAAGCUCAAUGUUAAAACCCAAUCCAAAAGAUUGUUUACAUUAAUAUUAAUUAUAAAUACAUUUUAAUUUACAUUUAGUUAAAAUUUAUUUAUUAUUAUUUUUUUGGGUGCUGUUCUUUUCGUCCAUCACAUGUUGGGAGUUGGGACAUGGGAGUGGGAAAAGUAGUUUCAGUGUUUCACAGUAAAUCUUAAGACGCACGCCUAGGCUUUGUCCUUUUUCUGACUGUGACCAAGGCGUCGGAGACCUUAGCUAAACAACCAUUUUAAGAGCUCGUAAGAAGGGAGGCCAGCAUUAAUAGACUUUCGUCAACAUUAACUCGACUAUUUUCCACUCUUUAGGUCCCAUUAUAAUUAAAGUAAAGAUUCCCGUACCCGAAGGAAAUUUCCAGGGGGCAGGAGCUUCUUCAUUAAGGAAUAUGGGGAAUAUAUAUAUAUAUAUAAAAAAAAGCGGAUUCCUUUAUUUGGGGAAUUCUUGCCAAGUUCAGAUGAAAACAUUAAUAUUUCUUGAAUUUUGGUUCUUGGGGUUUCCACAAAGAUUUUUAUGGCAGCAGCUUUGGUCGGAGGAGCGGCCUUAGGGGCAGUUUUUGGAGAGCUGCUUAGAGCCGUUGUAGAAGCGAGGAAAACACUUGCCCAGUUCCGUGAUGCCUUGGCGGAACUGGAAUCCACGCUAUCAUCCAUACAGCCAACAAUCAAAGCCAUAGAAUCACUCAACAAACUUCAUGACAGGGAGCACGAAAUGAAACCGUUCAUGGAAAUCAUUUGUACAGGAGAGAAACUUGUCAGGCAGUGCUUCAAAGUCCAUAGGUGGAACUUCCCCAAGAAGACUUGUUAUACAUACAAACUUCGUGGAUUGAAGAAAAAGCUCGACAGCUUCUGUCUGAUUAAUAUGCAAAUACAGCUAUUAAGAGACAACAAAGAAACGUCUUAUAAAAUGGAACAACUUGCUGGGGAAGUGAGAAGAUUGAGUUCCAAAGGGGCGUCCGGUAGCGACAAUGGGACGUUUAGUGAGGUUGCAGUUGUGGGUUCAUGCGAACCUCCUAAGCCUCAAGGGGAAGUUGUUGGAUUCGAUGCGCCCUUGACCGAGCUAAAGAUGAAGCUUUUUAAAGAUGGGGUGUCGGUCAUUGUUGUGUCUGCUCAGGGUGGAUCCGGGAAGACAACCUUGGUUCAAGAGCUAUGUCGGGAUGAAGGAGUCAAAGGUAUCAUUUCCUGUGCUUAGCUUUGUUUAUGCUUGAUUUUUAGUUUCUGGUUCUUGACUGGUUUGAUUAUUAGAUGCACAUCUGUUGAUUUGGUUAUGUCACAAGUGGAAACCAGAGUGGAAUGGCUAGCUUAACUUGAAUAAAUUUUGGAAGUAGGAGAAAAUGUUUCUUCUGAAAAUUCAUUUGGAAUAGUUGUGAAUCCUUUGGAAGACGUUAUUUGUCAAAUCCAAUUGAAUUAAACACUUUGCCAUGUAAGACUUCGAGUGUAGAAUAACUAGAUAACUGUUCAAGCAUUUGGUAAAGAUAUUUUAUGAGUAAUUUUGAUUGUAGUUGGAAUGAUUUCCUUUGUGCGGUCCUUCAACUGGAAUUCUACUGAGGCAAGCGAUUGAGAAAUUUUGGAUUCUAUUUUACCAAAUUUUCAUGCAUUAAAAUCGGGGAAUAUGUUUGUCACUUGCAAAAUGCUAUAAAUUAUCUUUGAAACUUUGCCAGAUUUCUAAUGCGAUGUUUGAACAGGAAAAUUUAAAGAAAACAUCUUCUAUGUGACUGUUUCAAAGGCACCCAACCUGGAGGUCAUUUUGCAGAAAUUACUCCGGCUUAAGGAUUCUAGAAUGCCUGAAUUUCAGAAUGAGGAGGAUGCCCUGAACCACUUGGAACAAAACUUCAGGAAAAUGGCAACCAAUCCCAUAUUACUCAUCCUGGACGAUGUUUGGUCUGGAUCUGAAUCCCUUGUUGAGAAGUUAAAGUUUACAUUGCCAGAUUACAAGAUCUUGGUAACAUCAAGAUUUGCCUUUCCAAGAUUUGAUUUUACAUAUCGUCUGAAACCAUUAAAUGAUGAUGAUGCUAUGACUCUGUUUCGUCACUUUGCAUUCUCGAAAGAUGUGGAUCCUGACAUUUCAGAUGAUCUCGUGAAUAAGGUAUUUUUAUCAAUCUGAAGACUCGUUCUAACUUUCACCCCUUGUAUGAAACUUUGAACACUUUCAUACUUCACUGUUGAUUUGCCACUGUAAUUUAGAUUAAAGAUCGAAAGGUUCAAAUCUUUAUAUUUGUAUACCAAGGUCGGUUUAAUUAAAGUGUUUUCCUGAACCUCCAAAAAAUGACUUUGAUGUUGUGUAACGAAUUUUAGGUAAUGAAAAGCUGUAAGGGACUCCCACUGGCCCUUGACGUGGUUGGUAGAUCACUUCGUGGGCAACCUGUUACAAUCUGGCGACGUAGAGCAAAGCAGCGGUCUAAAGGAGAAUCCAUCUUUAAUUCUAGCAAUGAGCUGCUUACUUGUCUUCAAAGCAGUUUAGAUGCGUUGGAUAGUAAGGCAGGAAUAAGGGACUGCUACCUGGACCUAGGUUCGUUCCCUGAAGAUCACUGGAUUCCUGCUACUGCCCUCAUUGAUAUGUGGGUUGAGCAGUACAAACUUGAUGAAGAUGAUGAUGCCAUUUUCAACCUCCAUGAACUCUCUACCAGGAAUCUAGUUAAUCUUGUAGUCGUGAGGUAUGCUAGUCAGUUCUUACUUUCUAUCUACUGUAACUUUAGCAUCCAUGUCCUGCCAUUCUCAUUUUAUUCUCUUCAAUCUAUCCAUAUUAUAGGGUUUCUCCUGUUGUACCCUAUAAUUCCAUUAAUCUGAAUGUAAAUCAAGCAGGACAGAUCUUCAACCUUGCUUCCCUUAUCAGAUAGGCACUAAGUUAUUGUUUGUGGUACAUGUUUGAAUCUCUACCCAACAGAUUUCUUUUUGCUUAUUCACCAGGAAAGAUGCACGUGAAGCUGAUGGCUACUACAAAGAGCACUUUGUCACGCAACAUGAUCUUCUCAGAGAGCUGGCUAUCUAUCAGAGCAGCUUGGACCCCGUGGAAAAAAGAAAGAGGUUAAUUGUAGAGCUAAGCCGCAACAAUUUUCCCAAUUGGUGGUUGGAAGAAAAGCAGCAAACUCUUGGUGCCCGCCUUUUGUCUAUCUCCACAGGUUGUUAUCUCUACCUUCAGACACAUGCACACACAAUAAGAAAUUUAGUCCUUCUACCCUAAGUUCUCGUGCCAUUUUUUACCUCAUCACAGAUGAAACAUUCACAUUCAGCUGGGGCAACAUCCAAGCACCAGAAGUUGAGGUUGUAGUUCUCAAUUUUCGGACGAAGAACUACACCUUGCCUGUCUUCAUGGAGAAAAUGGAUAAAUUGAAGGUUUUGAUAGUCACGAAUAGCAGUUUUUACCCAGCUGAAUUAAGUAACUUUCUGCUUCUGUCUUCUUUAUCGAAUCUAAGGAGAAUUAGGUUAGAGAAGGUGUCAGUUCCUUCCCUCAGCAAGAGCUCUUUACACCUAAAGAAUUUGGAAAAAAUAUCCUUAUAUAUGUGUAAUAUCGGUCAGGCUUUUGGGAAUGGCACUAAGAAGAUGUCAGAUAUUUUUCCGAAUCUUUUGGAAAUUGACAUUGACUAUUGUGAUGAUCUGGUGGAACUGACUGAUGGGUUGUGUGAUCUUGUUCAUCUGAUGAAGCUCAGUAUCACUAACUGCCACAAGCUUUGUGCACUGCCUGAAGGCAUUGGAAAGCUGGUAAACUUAGAAGUGCUAAGGCUAGCAUCCUGUACCGAUCUUGUGAGGUUGCCCGAGACCAUUGGGAGCUUAUCCCAGCUUAAUAUUUUUGACAUUUCCGACUGCCUGAGCAUCAUCAACAUGCCGGUCCAGAUUGGGGAACUGCACAAUCUAAGGAAGCUCUAUAUGAGAGGGUGCUCUAGUUGUAACCUACCUCCAACAAUCACAAAGCUUCGACGUUUGAAGGAUGUCAUAUGCGAUGAGGAGACUGCCUAUCAAUGGGAUUGUUUCAAAUCCUAUCUCAGCAAUCUAAGGGUAACAGUUCAUGAAGAAGACAUCAACUUGAACUGGCUCCGGACUUGUUUUUAAGAUUCCUCUCUUCUCAUGUGGUGCUGGAGCCCCCUUUCUUUUCAUAUAUG
Molecule: long non-coding RNA, 5587 nt
Filed under: Theobroma cacao (cacao)
Lineage: Eukaryota; Viridiplantae; Streptophyta; Magnoliopsida; Malvales; Malvaceae
Description: long non-coding RNA (TCAC_LNC000043)
Source: RNAcentral